GAUUCUCGUUUGAUCACCGAAGUUAAGCAGCAUCGAGCCCGAUCAGUAUUUAGAUGGGAGACCACUUGGGGACAGCGGGUACUGUA
This is a non-coding RNA of Acanthosepion pharaonis, 86 nucleotides long. The record is from the annotation of a GenBank genome assembly. Lineage: Eukaryota; Metazoa; Mollusca; Cephalopoda; Sepiida; Sepiidae.